Small nucleolar RNA from Dendrobium catenatum, 107 nucleotides. The record is from RefSeq and is a predicted model, not a curated record. NCBI's taxonomy places the organism in Eukaryota, Viridiplantae, Streptophyta, Magnoliopsida, Asparagales, Orchidaceae.
AAUGCAUGAUGAGAGCAUUUUCUAAGCAUUUCCUUAAAUCUUUCCCAAUUCUCAUAAAUGGAUUUUCCUUCAAACUAAGUAAAAGAAGUUAUGUCAUUUCUAAGUUU